This 433-nucleotide ribosomal RNA is filed under the name uncultured bacterium. Its description in RNAcentral is "partial 16S ribosomal RNA". It matches the Rfam family "Bacterial small subunit ribosomal RNA", at positions 29 to 507 of the family's 1533-position model. The record is from RNAcentral.
AACGAACGCUGGCGGCAUGCCUAACACAUGCAAGUCGAACGAGACCUUCGGGUCUAGUGGCGCACGGGUGCGUAACGCGUGGGAACCUGCCCUUAGGUUCGGAAUAACUCCCCGAAAGGGGUGCUAAUACCGGAUAAUGUCUUCGGACCAAAGAUUUAUCGCCUUUGGAUGGGCCCGCGUUGAAUUAGCUAGUUGGUAGGGUAAAAGCCUACCAAGGCGCCGAUCCAUAGCUGGUCUGAGAGGAUGAUCAGCCACACUGGGACUGAGACCCGGCCCAGACUCCUACGGGAGGCAGCAGUGGGGAAUAGUGGAAAGUGGGGGAAAGCCUGAUGGAGCUAUGCCGCGUGAGUGAUGAAGGCCUUAGGGUUGUAAAGCUCUUGUACCCGGGAUGAUAAUGACAGUACCGGGAGAAUAAGCUCCGGCUAACUCCGUG